This 336-nucleotide unclassified non-coding RNA is filed under the name soil metagenome. RNAcentral describes it as "partial contains 5.8S ribosomal RNA, internal transcribed spacer 2, and large subunit ribosomal RNA". The stretch from base 2 to 119 matches the Rfam family "5.8S ribosomal RNA", at positions 37 to 154 of the family's 154-position model. The record is from RNAcentral.
GUGAAGAACGUAGCGAAAUGCGAUAAGUAAUGUGAAUUGCAGAAUUCAGUGAAUCAUCGAAUCUUUGAACGCACAUUGCGCCCGCCAGUAUUCUGGCGGGCAUGCCUGUUCGAGCGUCAUUUCAACCAUCAAGCCCCCGGGCUUGUGUUGGGGACCUGCGGCUGCCGCAGGCCCUGAAAAGCAGUGGCGGGCUCGCUGUCACACCGAGCGUAGUAGAUUUUAUCUCGCUCUGGGCGUGCUGCGGGUUCCGGCCGUUAAACCACCCUUUUAACCCAAGGUUGACCUCGGAUCAGGUAGGAAGACCCGCUGAACUUAAGCAUAUCAAUAAGCGGAGGA